This 497-nucleotide ribosomal RNA is filed under the name uncultured bacterium. Its description in RNAcentral is "partial 16S ribosomal RNA". It matches the Rfam family "Bacterial small subunit ribosomal RNA", at positions 28 to 507 of the family's 1533-position model. The record is from RNAcentral.
GAUGAACGCUGGCGGCGUGCCUAAUACAUGCAAGUCGAGCGAACAGACGAGGAGCUUUCUCCCUUGACGUUAGCGGCGGACGGGUGUGUAACACGUGGAUAACCGACCUCUUAGACUGGGAUAACUGCGGGAAACCGGAGCUGAUACCGGAUAAUAUAUUGAACCGCUGGGUACAAUAGUGAAUGACGGCUUUGACGUCCAUGUGAGUUGGAUCCGCGCCGCAUUAGCUAGUUGGUAAGGUAACGGCCUACCAAGGCAACGAUGCGUAGCCGACCUGAGAGGGUGAUCGGCCACACUGGAACUGAGACACGGUCCAGACUCCUACGGGAGGCAGCAGUAGGGAAUCUUCCGCAAUGGGCGAAAGCCUGACGGAGCAACGCCGCGUGAGUGAUGAAGGUCUUCGGAUCGUAAAACUCUGUUAUUAGGGAAGAACAAAUGUGUAAGUAACUAUGCACGUCUUGACGGUACCUAAUCAGAAAGCAACGGCUAACUACGUG